AGCAGCCGCGGUAAUUCCAGCUCCAAUAGCGUAUAUUAAAGUUGCUGCAGUUAAAAAGCUCGUAGCUGAAUUUCGGGACCAUCAUGUCGGUCGUGCCUCGGUACGUACUGGCAUUGUUGGUUUCUCCCUUCUGACGAACCAUGAUGUCAUUUAUUUGGUGUCGUGGGAAAUCAGGACUGUUACUUUGAAAAAAUUAGAGUGUUUAAAGCAGGCUCACGCUUGAAUACAUUAGCAUGGAAUAAUGAAAUAGGACGUUUGAUUCUAUUUUGUUGGUUUCUAGGAUCGACGUAAUGAUUAAUAGGGAUAGUUGGGGGCAUUAGUAUUCAAUUGUCAGAGGUGAAAAUUCUUGGAUUUAUUGAAGACUAACUACUGCGAAAGCAUUUGCCAAGGAUGUUUUCAUUAAUCAAGAACGAAAGUUAGGGGGAUCGAAGACGAUCAGAUACCGUCGUA
This 450-nucleotide ribosomal RNA is filed under the name uncultured Glomus. RNAcentral's name for it is "SSU rRNA". It matches the Rfam family "Eukaryotic small subunit ribosomal RNA", at positions 569 to 1022 of the family's 1831-position model. Lineage: Eukaryota; Fungi; Glomeromycota; Glomeromycetes; Glomerales; Glomeraceae. The record is from RNAcentral.